AGUGGAUGGGGAGCAACCUAGUUGUGCGUGUGUAAAGGUAGUGCCAAGAAAAGCGAUGAUCAUGUUGAAAAUCAAUUCCCGGUACCCGAAACCGACACAGGUGGGCAAGUAGAGAGUACUAAGGGGCGCGAGGUAACUCUCUCCAAGGAACUCGGCAAAAUGACCCCGUAACUUAGGGAGAAGGGGUGCCACCGAGAGGUGGUCGCAGUGAAGAGGCCCAGGCGACUGUUUAGCAAAAACAUAGGUCUCUGCAAACUCGAAAGAGGAGGUAUAGGGGCUGACGCCUGCCCAGUGCCGGAAGGUUAAAGAAGUUGGUCAGUUUUAGGAUGAAGCUAGCGACUGAAGCCCCGGUGAACGGCGGCCGUAACUAUAACGGUCCUAAGGUAGCGAAAUUCCUUGUCGGGUAAGUUCCGACCCGCACGAAAGGCGUAACGAUCUGGGCGCUGUCUCGGAGAGAGGCUCGGCGAAAUAGGAUUGUCUGUGAAGAUACGGACUACCUGCAUUUGGACAGAAAGACCCUAUGAAGCUUUACUAUAGCUUGGAAUUGUGUUCGGGCUUCCUGUGCGCAGGAUAGGUGGGAGGCGUAGAAGGUAUUCUUGUGGGGAUACUGGAGCCAACGGUGAGAUACCACUCUCAGGAGGCUAGAAUUCUAACUUAAUUAAGGACAGUUUCAGGUGGGUAGUUUGACUGGGGCGGUCGCCUCCAAAAAGGUAACGGAGGCGUACAAAGGUUCCCUCAGACUGGUUGGAAAUCAGUCGAAGAGUGCAAAGGCAGAAGGGAGCUUGACUGCGAGAAGUACAGUUCGAGCAGGGUGGAAACACGGUCUUAGUGAUCCGACGGUGCUGUGUGGAAGGGCCGUCGCUCAACGGAUAAAAGUUACUCUAGGAUAACAGGCUGAUCUCCCCCAAGAGUUCACAUCGACGGGGAGGUUUGGCACCUCGAUGUCGGCUCAUCGCAACCUGGGGCGGAAGUACGUCCCAAGGGUUGGGCUGUUCGCCCAUUAAAGCGGUACGUGAGCUGGGUUCAGAACGUCGUGAGACAGUUCGGUCCAUAUCCGAUGUAGGCGUGAGAAUAUUGAGAGGAGCCUUCCUUAGUACGAGAGGACCGGGAAGGACGCACCGCUGGUGUACCUGUUAUGAUGCCAAUUGUAAACGCAGGGUAGCCAAGUGCGGAGAGGAUAACCGCUGAAAGCAUCUAAGUGGGAAGCCCACCUCAAGAUGAGUAUUCUGGUGUAAGGUCACGGGAAGACGACCCGUAAAUAGGCACGAGGUGGAAGUGCAGAGAUGUAUGAAGCCGAAGUGUACUAAUAGACCGUCGGCUUGAC
RNAcentral lists this ribosomal RNA (1324 nucleotides) under metagenome. Its description in RNAcentral is "bacterial LSU rRNA". It matches the Rfam family "Bacterial large subunit ribosomal RNA", at positions 1561 to 2925 of the family's 2925-position model. The record is from RNAcentral.